AAGAAGCUGUGUCCCAGCAUCCCCAAGUUUUGGAGACUUCAACCUUAAUAGGUAGGUGAACUUGUUGGUACAAAGAAACACCAGCAAAUGCAAAUGGUUGAAAUCCUAACCGGAACUCUCUACUAUUCUCUGAAUGCAACGAGUCCAGACGAAGUAAAGAUGUCUUUUCUCAGUAGCAGUCUUUUGGAGAUGGUACUUUCUCUAUCAACACAAACUACAGAUAUUCCUCAGAUCAGUAGUCUUCUUCAACUAGUAUAUCUAUCCUACAAGUCGAAGAACACACAACCUCCGUAUCAACCAAUAUCCAUUCACGUCUUUGCUGCACACAUGGGAGGUGCUUCGAGAAGAAUCUGAGUGCAGAGUAGUAUAACAAGCCAAGGUCAGGAAGCUGCAGCUCAUUGUGUUGCUGUUCAAACCGUUUGAAGCGGGCAUGGAAUGGGCAGCUGGCACCAAAUUGAAGGGUUCUUUUACUUUCCUGGAAGCAUCUCCUAUUGUACUAUAAUAUUUCAAUACCAAGUUCUAGUUGUAUAGCCUUAGAGGCUUGCUUUUGUUCCACAGUCGCUAUCAUUAUAGAAGUGGCGCUAUACAGAAGCUUCUGCUACAUGGCUGCUGGAGUCUCAGUUUACUAUAUUAGUAUAAGCAGACACUAGUGUGAUGUUCUGGUUACUGAUAUAGAAUCUUUGAACUCCAUCCUUAAUGGAGUAGUAGUUCCUAGUUACAGUCAUUUCGAAAAUGUACGAUUAUUUUUGUAUUUUGAAGGUCUUAAAACUAUCAAUGACCUACCUUCAGUCUGAAACAUCCUACCCUUUUACCCCCAAAGAUUGUAUCCUUGUUAAUAUUGUUUCGAUUAUCAUUGUAUCCUUGUGAAUGUUGUUUA
Molecule: long non-coding RNA, 877 nt
Organism: Prunus persica (peach)
Lineage: Eukaryota; Viridiplantae; Streptophyta; Magnoliopsida; Rosales; Rosaceae
Exons: 2
Source: RefSeq, a predicted model, not a curated record